This 344-nucleotide ribosomal RNA is filed under the name uncultured bacterium. RNAcentral's name for it is "bacterial SSU rRNA". It matches the Rfam family "Bacterial small subunit ribosomal RNA", at positions 30 to 371 of the family's 1533-position model. The record is from RNAcentral.
AUUGAACGCUGGCGGCAUGCCUUACACAUGCAAGUCGAACGGCAGCGGACCUUCGGGUGCCGGCGAGUGGCGAACGGGUGAGUAAUAUAUCGGAACGUACCUUUCAGUGGGGGAGUAACGUAGCGAAAGUUAACGCUAAUACCGCAUAUUCUGUGAGCAGGAAAGCAGGGGAGUCGCAAGACCUUGCGCUGAUUGAGCGGCCGAUAUCAGAUUAGCUAGUUGGUGAGGUAAAGGACUCACCAAGGCGACGAUCUGUAGCGGGUCGUGAGAGGAUGAUCCGCCACACUGGAACUGAGACACGGUCCAGACUCCUACGGGAGGCAGCAGUGGGGAAGUUUUGGUAC